RNAcentral lists this long non-coding RNA (2675 nucleotides) under Salmo salar (Atlantic salmon). RNAcentral's name for it is "lncRNA (ENSSSAG00000099130.1)". The record is from RNAcentral. Lineage: Eukaryota; Metazoa; Chordata; Actinopteri; Salmoniformes; Salmonidae.
GGGGGGGGGGGGGGCUGAGGAGAGAGAAAGGGAGAGGGAGGCUGUUAUGAGAGUUGUGGGAGGCUGGGGAUAGGAACUUGGAGAGGAGAGGGAUGAGAGUGCUGUGGAGAAGGGAGAGAGGAGGGCUGUGGAGAGAGGAGGGCUGUGGAGAGGGGAGAGGGGAGAAGAGAGAGGAAAGGGUGGAGAGGAGAGGGAUGAGAGGGCUGUGGAGAGGGGAGAGAGGAGAGGGGGAGAAGAGAGGGAGGGCUGUGGAGAGAGGAGAGAGAAGGGCUGUGGAGAGGGGAGAGGAAAGGGUGGAGAGGAGAGGGAUGAGAGGGCUGUGGAGAGGGGAGAGAGGAGAGGGGGGAGAAAAGUGGGAGGGCUGUGGAGAGAGGAGAGAGGAGGGCUGUGGAGAGAGGAGGGCUGUGGAGAGGGGAGAGGGGAGAAGAGAGAGGAAAGGGUGGAGAGGAGAGGGAUGAGAGGGCUGUGGAGAGGGGAGAGAGGAGAGCUGUGGAGAGAGAAGGGCUGUGGAGAGAGGAGGGCUGUGGAGAGGAGAGAGGGGGAGAAGAGAGGGAGGGCUGUGGAGAGAGGAGAGAGGAGGGCUGUGGAGAGAGGAGGGCUGUGGAGAGAGGAGGAAGGGAGAGAGGAGAGAGGAGGGCUGUGGAGAGAGGAGAGAGGAGGGCUGUGGAGAGAGGAGAGGAGAGGAGAGAGGAGGGCUGUGGAGAGAGGAGAGAGGAGGGCUGUGGAGAGGAGAGAGGGGGAGAAGAGAGGGAGGGCUGUGGAGAGAGGCGAGAGGAGGGCUGUGGAGAGAGGAGGGCUGUGGAGAGGAGAGAGGGGGAGAAGAGAGGGAGGGCUGUGGAGAGAGGAGAGAGGAGGGCUGUGGAGAGAGGAGGGCUGUGGAGAGAGGAGGAAGGGAGAGAGGAGAGAGGAGGGCUGUGGAGAGAGGAGAGAGGAGGGCUGUGGAGAGAGGAGAGGAGAGGAGAGAGUGGAGAGAGGAGGGCUGUGGAGAGAGGAGAGAGGAGGGCUGUGGAGAGAGGAGAGGAGAGGAGAGAGUGGAGAGAGGAGGGCUGUGGAGAGAGGAGGGCUGAGGGCUGUGGAGAGAGGAGGGCUGUGGAGAGAGGAGAGAGGAGGGCUGUGGAGAGAGGAGAGAGGAGGGCUGUGGAGAGAGGAGGGCUGUGGAGAGAGGAGAGAGGAGGGCUGUGGAGAGAGGAGAGAGGAGGGCUGUGGAGAGAGGAGAGGAGAGAAGAGAAGAGAGAGUGGAGAGAGUCUGUUCUGUUCCUCUCUGACAGUUGAAUGGGAGCGUAACGUGCUGUGACACCCCAGGCACUAGGCUGUCAAAACAGGGUUCCUCUGUUCCUCCGUUGCAUGAUUGUUCUGAAGGGGACUGGAGUGGCCCAGCAUGUUACAGCACACUGACUAACCACUCACGCAAGAGGGAGAGCGAGAGAGAGGGGGUGAGGGAGCGAGAGAGAGAGGAGAGAGAGAGAGAGAGAGGAGAGAGGGGGAGGGGGAGGGAGAGAGAGAGGAGAGGAGAGGAGAAGGGGAGAGAGAGAGAGAGAAAGAGAGAGAGGAGAGAGAGAGAGAGAGGGGGAGGGAGAGAGAGAGAGAGAGAGAGAGAGAGGAGAGAGGGGGAGGAAGAAAGAGAGGAGAGGAGAAGGGGAGGGAGAGAGAGGAGAGAGAGGAGAGGAGAGGGGGGAGGGAAAUAGUUCUUUGCUUUGGCAAUGUAAACACAUUUCCCCAUGCCAAUAAAACCCCUUUGUAUUGAGAGAGAGGAGAGGGGAGAGAGAGAGAGAGAGAGAGAGAGAGAGAGAGGAGAGGGGGGAGGGAAAGAGAGAGAAAAAGAUGGAGAGGGGUGAGAGAGAGAGAGAGAGACUAUGUAUCAUCACACACUCCCAUAUAGAUUGUGCUGUGCCCUGUAUAGACAGAACACCUUGGUAUGGAAGUACACUGACUGUCUAUGGGUCUGAUGUUCUCUUACAAAUCACAGUACUGGUUUCCAUCUGAUUUCUUACAUUCAAACACCAAAACAAAAAGAGCCCCCCAAGGCAUUCCCAUUGAAUGUGGCAAAAAUAAUGCUGUGCAAUAGGAAAAUCUUAGAGCAAAGUGUUCUGGCCAGCUGGGUUGAUGAGGUCAGGACAGAACAGAAGAAAACAGCAGAAUUAGCAGAAAAAUACAAAUGUUUCCACUCUCUUCCAGAACAUUACACAGAACGGUUUAAACAAAAUCAUGAAAUGAGAGAUUCUCCUGCCCCUGUCUUCCACAGUCACAGACAGACAAAUACAUGUACAGUCUACAAAUCACAAUCAAUCUACAAAUCACAAUCUACAAUCAACUCUUCCUCGUAUCCCUCUAGUUCCAGAUCCCUGACUGACCCAAACCGACCUCCGGACCUGAAUCACGGUUCAAUCCCAAAAUCGCACCCUAUUCCCUAUGUAGUGCACUACUUUGGACCAGAGCUCAUUAGGAAGUAGUGCACUACAUAGGGAAUAGGGUGCCAUUUGGGCCUUAAACCUAUCCGAGAUCGAGACCGGAUUACCUCAUACCAGACUUCUCCAUUCUACUGCUGCUCACCCCUUCAGAUCCUACCUCAGACCAGACUUCUCAAUUCUACUGCUGCUCACCCCUUCAGAUCCUACCUCAGACCAGACUUCUCCAUUCUACUGCUGCUCACCCCUUCAGAUCCUACCUCAGACCAG